CUGCCCUUGUGACCUCAAACAGGGAGUGCUCUGAUAGAAAAAAAUGAACAGUGCAUUCACUUCUCACCUCUGACAGCUGGCCUGAGAUUGAUAUCUGCCAUUUCUGCCUUCACUAGGGUAUCAGGUAAUGAGAGCUGGUAAAGGAUUUGGUGAUGUCAGAAUAAAAGCCUUUCAUAAUACUAAGAACUGUCAGAAUGCUUAAAAAUAUGACCAUGGGACGUCGUCACCAGCAAGAACUUUUUUGUGAGAUGUGAUGAGCAAGUGGAUAUCAACUCAUAUCAACACCAUGAAACACUGCACUGUUGGUCACGAAAGAGGAGAUACAUCACACCAGAGACGGAUGAAGCUAUUUGUGCCAUUUACAAUGCCAAGGAAACAGACAGGGUGCCUAUGGCCAUUAUUUCAAAGCUAUAAAACUUGUGUCUUUGCCCGCAGUGGAAUAUACUCUAAAUUGGUCACAGUCAAAAAGGAUUCAAAAAACCAUGAGAAAAAUAGAAGAAAGAAAACCUUCCCAGAUCAUUGUUGGACACACAUACAUGUACACAACUGAGUGAUAACAGAGAAGGAACUCAAGGAUCCCGAUGAUGUCAUUUGGAUCAUAUAAAACCAGAACCAUCCUGUGCCAAAGACCUUCCUGCUCGCUACUUUUACACUGAGUGAUGGAUAGGGCCUAUGAACUUCCACUUGCUCCAGUGGCUUCUCUAAGAUAGCCUGCAUUUGAGAAGGGAAAGAAGAUCCAGACAUAGACCUUACUAGCCACCCUGCUGGUGAUGAAUGUCUCCAGGCUGCAGGUGAAAACGGUGUCUGAGGCAGCUCAUGGAGGAAGCAUCUGUGAAGGCCCCACGGAGACAAAACGUUUGAGUGGGACCUUAAAAUAAAAGUAGAAUUUGGACCAUCGGACCUGAAGGAGAGUUGCAAGAACGUGUCUCCUCUUGGUGCUGUCAGUGCGCUGCACAGGGAUCAUGGGCUUGGGCAGCCGUGUGGGAUGAAAGCCUUCAGCCAGAGGGCUUCUCAUCAUCUCACUAUAGUUCUGGCGUCUUCCUAUCUCUGAAUAUGGAGCAGAAAAACACUCUAAGUGCAAUUUUCUCAGAGAAAAGAGAGACUGAGGGAGAAAGGCAGAGAAGAGGCGUCUGAAACUGCUGAAGGAUCUGGAAGAAUGACCCAUAGCUUCAAGGGAGAAGAUUUGAGUUGGAAUUGGAGGAAGCUGGCAUUUGCCUGAAGAACCAAGGAUUCAUUGCAUUCCCUGCCACACCUAAGGCAAAAGUGUGACUUCACCUGGAACUUCCUGCUGUCACCAUCCAUUCAUCUGCAGACUUUUGUUCAGUUUUUGUUCAGUCAGAUGAUGAAGUCUAUCAAAAAUGGCAAGGUUCUGAAACUGCUUCUGGUAAAUUUUAGCAUCUCCACAGAUGUAGGCAUCAGUAUUUCCUCGUAUAUAUUAACAAUAAAACUUUAUCUGGUCCUCCCUUUGGUCCUGCAGGGGAGGCAAACAUAUCUUUUUUUCCUCUACUCUCUUAGAUUCAUAAGCUGGGGUCUGCAAAUUAGACUGACAAAAGAAAGAUUAAUAGGAGGAAAAAAACACAGUUUAUAUAUGUAUACAAUGGGCAUACCUGCGGGAGAACUCAGUGAUGAGUAACUCAAAGAGGUGAUUAGAAUUGGGGACCUAUAUACCAUCUUAACAAAUAAAGUUUUAAGAUGUUUUGAUAAAGAUAAGUUUUGAUAAAGUUGUGGGGAAGUGACAAGACAAAGGACAUGGCAUUUGAGUUUCAAGAGUGGUAGAUUGUAGGAAG
Equus caballus (horse) is the source of this 1787-nucleotide long non-coding RNA. The record is from Ensembl. Lineage: Eukaryota; Metazoa; Chordata; Mammalia; Perissodactyla; Equidae.